GCCGGGGUGGCGGAAUGGCAGACGCUACGGACUUAAAAUCCGUUGACCGCAAGGUCGUGCGGGUUCGACUCCCGCCCUCGGCACCA
This 86-nucleotide transfer RNA is filed under the name Acidobacteriota bacterium. RNAcentral describes it as "tRNA-Leu". It matches the Rfam family "tRNA". Rfam says of the family: Transfer RNA (tRNA) molecules are approximately 80 nucleotides in length. Their secondary structure includes four short double-helical elements and three loops (D, anti-codon, and T loops). RNAcentral also lists the same sequence under 3 other names. Lineage: Bacteria; Pseudomonadati; Acidobacteriota. The record is from RNAcentral.